RNAcentral lists this ribosomal RNA (253 nucleotides) under uncultured bacterium. Its description in RNAcentral is "partial 16S ribosomal RNA". It matches the Rfam family "Bacterial small subunit ribosomal RNA", at positions 524 to 776 of the family's 1533-position model. The record is from RNAcentral.
UACGGAGGGUGCAAGCAUUAAUCGGAAUUAUUGGGCGUAAAGGGCGCGUAGGCGGCGAGGUCAGUCAGGUGUGAAAUCCCGGAGCUUAACUCCGGAACAGCACUUGAAACUGCCUUGCUAGAGGAUAGGCGGAGAAAACGGAAUUCCACAAGUAGCGGUGAAAUGCGUAGAUAUGUGGAAGAACACCUGUGGCGAAAGCGGUUUUCUAGCUUAUACCUGACGCUGAGGCGCGAAAGCAAGGGGAGCAAACAGG